Molecule: ribosomal RNA, 253 nt
Filed under: uncultured bacterium
Lineage: Bacteria
Description: partial 16S ribosomal RNA
Rfam family: Bacterial small subunit ribosomal RNA
Source: RNAcentral
GACGUAGGGUGCGAGCGUUGUCCGGAUUUAUUGGGCGUAAAGAGCUCGUAGGCGGCUCGUCGCGUCGACCGUGAAAACCCGCGGCUUAACUGCGGGCUUGCGGUUGAUACGGGCGGGCUAGAGUUCGGUAGGGGAGACUGGAAUUCCGAGUGUAGAGGUGAAAUUCGUAGAUAUUCGGAGGAACACCAGUGGCGAAGGCAGCUCUCUGGGACGGUACUGACGCUGAGACGCGAAAGCGUGGGGAGCGAACAGG